GAUGAACGCUGGCGGCGUGCCUAAUACAUGCAAGUCGAGCGAACGGACGAGAAGCUUGCUUUUCUGAUGUUAGCGGCGGACGGGUGAGUAACACGUGGAUAACCUACCUAUAAGACUGGGAUAACUUCGGGAAACCGGAGCUAAUACCGGAUAAUAUUUUGAACCGCAUGGUUCAAAAGUGAAAGACGGUCUUGCUGUCACUUAUAGAUGGAUCCGCGCUGCAUUAGCUAGUUGGUAAGGCAACGGCUUACCAAGGCAACGAUGCAUAGCCGACCUGAGAGGGUGAUCGGCCACACUGGAACUGAGACACGGUCCAGACUCCUACGGGAGGCAGCAGUAGGGAAUCUUCCGCAAAGGGCGAAAGCCUGACGGAGCAACGCCGCGUGAGUGAUGAAGGUCUUCGGAUCGUAAAACUCUGUUAUUAGGGAAGAACAUAUGUGUAAGUAACUGUGCACAUCUUGACGGUACCUAAUCAGAAAGCCACGGCUAACUACGUG
RNAcentral lists this ribosomal RNA (497 nucleotides) under uncultured bacterium. RNAcentral's name for it is "partial 16S ribosomal RNA". It matches the Rfam family "Bacterial small subunit ribosomal RNA", at positions 28 to 507 of the family's 1533-position model. The record is from RNAcentral.